UCAUUAGUAUGAUAGGUAUAUGAAAAAUAAGAAUAUUUAUGUUUAUUUGAUAAUUACGGGUGAGAUGUUACGUUGCGCAUCUCGAGUGUUUUUUGUUUACCCAUGAGCCCACGUAUGACGUUGCUGUGCGGUUGAGGCCUCGUGUGUGAAUCCACUUCGCAGGGAAUAUUUGUGUUGUUGACCUUUCACAGAAGUGGCAGUUAUUGGGCACAAGUCUUUACACUCAUGAAGGUAUGUUUAAGGAUAUUGAGUGGUUUCAAAUUAAUAUCAGAAGAGGAUAAUCCUCAUUAAUAUUGAUAAAUACACGGAACAUGAGUUUGUUGUGUUGGCGUCGGCCAUAAUUUGGAGUGUUUACUUUUCAUAUGCGUUUCAGCCAGUGUUAUGUCCAAUGGGCUGUGGAUUGGAUUUGUGCCGUAACUGAGAUUAUACGUGACGGUAACUACUGGGAAUCAUGGAUUGUGAUAGUGUGGCCAUUGAAGUUGAAACUUUGCUCCAAUAAAAGACUGUUGCAGCU
Long non-coding RNA from Penaeus monodon (black tiger shrimp), 514 nucleotides. RefSeq lists it as uncharacterized. NCBI's taxonomy places the organism in Eukaryota, Metazoa, Arthropoda, Malacostraca, Decapoda, Penaeidae. The record is from RefSeq and is a predicted model, not a curated record. The transcript is spliced from 2 exons.